This 255-nucleotide ribosomal RNA is filed under the name uncultured bacterium. RNAcentral's name for it is "partial 16S ribosomal RNA". It matches the Rfam family "Bacterial small subunit ribosomal RNA", at positions 524 to 777 of the family's 1533-position model. The record is from RNAcentral.
UACGGAGGAUCCAAGCGUUAUCCGGAUUCAUUGGGUUUAAAGGGUGCGUAGGCGGAAUGAUAAGUCAGUGGUGAAAUCCUGCAGCUUAACUGCAGAACUGCCAUUGAUACUGUCAAUCUUGAGUAUAUUUGAUGUGGGCGGAAUGUGUCGUGUAGCGGUGAAAUGCUUAGAUAUGACACAGAACACCGAUUGCGAAGGCAGCUCACAAAACUAUAACUGACGCUGAGGCACGAAAGCGUGGGUAGUCAAACAGGA